Molecule: ribosomal RNA, 1357 nt
Filed under: Dendropemon albopictus
Lineage: Eukaryota; Metazoa; Arthropoda; Insecta; Coleoptera; Anthribidae
Description: partial 16S ribosomal RNA
Source: RNAcentral
UUCUUCAAAAUUAAAGAUUUUGGCGGUAUUUUAGUCUAUUCAGAGGAAUCUGUUCUAUAAAUGAUAUUCCACGAUAAGUUAAAUUUUUAUUAAAAUUUUUAUAUCGUUGUAAUAAAAUAUUUUUGAAGAAUAAAAAUAUUAAUAAUUUUUAUUAAAAAAUAAAUCAAAUCAAGAUGAAGUUUAUAUAAAAGAAGAAAUGGAUUACAAUAAAAAAAUUUAUAUAGAAAGUUAAUUUAAAGUUAAUAUAAAAGUGGAUUUGAAAGUAAUUUUAAAUUAUUUUUUAAAAUGAUUUUAGCUAUAAAAUAUGUACAUAUUGCCCGUCGCUUUCACUUUAAAGUGAAAUAAGUCGUAACAAAGUAGAUGUACUGGAAAGUGUAUCUAGAAACAGAUUAGAGCUUGAUAAAAGUAUUUUAUUUACAUUAAAAAGUUAAUUGUGAAAUUCAAUUUAGUUUGAUUUAAUUUAAUUAUUAAUUUUAUUAGGAAUUAGAUUAUUUAAAAAAAAAAAUUUAAUUUUAUUAAAAAUUUUGAAAAAAUUUUAUUUUAUAAUAAAUUAGUAUUGAGAAAGAAUUUUAUUUAAAAGUUAAAAAGGAAAAUAAUUUUGUACCUUCUGUAUCAGGGUUUAUUUAGAUAUAAAUUUAUUAUAAAAUUUUCUCGAAUUAAAAAGAGUUAAAUUUAUAUAAAUAUUAUUGUGAAAUAAUUAUUUAAAAUAUAAGUUUAGAAAUGAAAUGUUAUUCGUUUUUAAGAUAUCUAGUUUUAAGAGAAAAAAAUUCAAUUUUUUGAUAAUAAAAAUAUAUUUAAUUGUAAAAUCAUAUUUUAAUUAUUUGAAAUUUAUUUAGGGAUGAGCUUAAAUAAAAAAAUUUAUAAUUUAUAAAUUAAUAGUGAAUUUUAGGAUUAGAAUUGUUUAUAAAUAAAAGAAUGUAAUAAUUGAUUUAUAAGGGGAUAAAAUUUAUAUAUAAAUUUAAAUAUUUUAUUUUAAAUUUGAAUUUAAUGAUAAAAUUUAAUUUAUAAUGAUAAAAUUAGUAUAAUUAAAAAUUUAAAUAGUUAAAUUUUAGAUAAUUAAAAGGAAUUCGGCAAAAUAAUUUUUUACCUGUUUAUUAAAAACAUGUCUUAUAGAAAAUAAUUUUAAGUCGGCCCUGCCCUCUGAGUAUUAAAUGGCCGCGGUAUUUUGACCGUGCGAAGGUAGCAUAAUCAUUAGUUUUUUAAUUGAAAGCUGGAAUGAAGGGGUUAAUAAAAAAAUUACUGUCUCUUAUUUAAUAUUUAAGAAUUUUAUUUUAAAGUAAAAAAGCUUUAAUAAUUUUAAAAGACGAUAAGACCCUGUAGAGUUUAAUAUAAAAAUAUUUUAUAAAAGAGGAAUUAU